Molecule: ribosomal RNA, 520 nt
Filed under: uncultured bacterium
Lineage: Bacteria
Description: bacterial SSU rRNA
Rfam family: Bacterial small subunit ribosomal RNA
Source: RNAcentral
CUACGUGCCAGCAGCCGCGGUCAUACGUAGGGUGCGAGCAUUAUCCGGAGUGACUGGGCGUAAAGAGUUGCGUAGGCGGUAAGUCAAGUGAAUAGUGAAACCUGGUGGCUCAACCAUACAGACUAUUAUUCAAACUGGCUUACUCGAGAGUGGUAGAGGUAACUGGAAUUUCUUGUGUAGGAGUGAAAUCCGUAGAUAUAAGAAGGAACACCAAUGGCGUAGGCAGGUUACUGGACCAUUUCUGACGCUAAGGCACGAAAGCGUGGGGAGCGAACCGGAUUAGAUACCCUGGUAGUCCACGCCGUAAACGAUGAGUGCUAGGUGUUAGACCCUUUCCGGGGUUUAGUGCCGCAGCUAACGCAUUAAGCACUCCGCCUGGGGAGUACGACCGCAAGGUUGAAACUCAAAGGAAUUGACGGGGGCCCGCACAAGCGGUGGAGCAUGUGGUUUAAUUCGAAGCAACGCGAAGAACCUUACCAGGUCUUGACAUCCCUCUGACCGCUCUAGAGAUAGAGUUUUC